Rosa chinensis is the source of this 569-nucleotide long non-coding RNA. RefSeq lists it as uncharacterized. The transcript has 2 exons. The record is from RefSeq and is a predicted model, not a curated record. Lineage: Eukaryota; Viridiplantae; Streptophyta; Magnoliopsida; Rosales; Rosaceae.
GGUUCAUGUGGUUGUGUCAUAAAACGAGUGGCAGAGAUUAGGCUUGGGAGGGGAUAUGGUGCAGUUCUUGACACCAGCUUUUUGUGUAAAGGACGACUGUGGACAGUGGCUGAACUUGAAAGUUGUUUUGAGGCAGUGCCGGCCCUAGGCUGAGCCAAGGCGAAGUAGGCCCAGGCCUAGGGCCUUAGGUUUCAGGGGGCCUCAAAAAAAUUCUUUAUGUAGGCCUGCAAUUAAAAAAAAAAAAAAGAUAACAAAACAAUUUAAGAGAUUAAGCAUCUUCAUACACGCAACAGAGACGCACAAGGUGCAAUCAGAGUAUCGAAGUCGAAGAGAUUGUGUCUCAGAGACGAUGGAGCCACCAACCGAGCACCACAUCAAGCACUUCAAGUUCAUUUGUUUUUGAAGGAUCUCUUUCUCAAUCCAAGACAAAAAUCCAAUUGUGAUUGAACAUCCCAUAAGGUAAUUCUAUUUCCCAAUGGUGGCUGAAGACGAGAAGUCGAAAACCCAGAAGGAGACUAUGAGAGGAUCAGAAGAAAAAGUUGAAUUCAGGGAUUGAAGAGUUGAUUUUA